ACUCCUACGGGAGGCAGCAGUGGGGGAAUAUUGCACAAUGGGCGCAAGCCUGAUGCAGCCAUGCCGCGUGUGUGAAGAAGGCCUUCGGGUUGUAAAGCACUUUUCAGUUGUGAGGAAGGUGGUGUCGUUAAUAGCGGCAUCAUUUGACGUUAGCAACAGAAGAAGCACCGGCUAACUCCGUGCCAGCAGCCGCGGUAAUACGGAGGGUGCGAGCGUUAAUCGGAAUUACUGGGCGUAAAGCGCAUGCAGGUGGUUUGUUAAGUCAGAUGUGAAAGCCCGGGGCUCAACCUCGGAACUGCAUUUGAAACUGGCAGACUAGAGUACUGUAGAGGGGGGUAGAAUUUCAGGUGUAGCGGUGAAAUGCGUAGAGAUCUGAAGGAAUACCGGUGGCGAAGGCGGCCCCCUGGACAGAUACUGACACUCAGAUGCGAAAGCGUGGGGAGCAAACAGGAUUAGAUACCCUGGUAGCACAGAG
This 475-nucleotide ribosomal RNA is filed under the name uncultured bacterium. RNAcentral's name for it is "bacterial SSU rRNA". It matches the Rfam family "Bacterial small subunit ribosomal RNA", at positions 335 to 799 of the family's 1533-position model. The record is from RNAcentral.